RNAcentral lists this ribosomal RNA (460 nucleotides) under uncultured bacterium. Its description in RNAcentral is "partial 16S ribosomal RNA". It matches the Rfam family "Bacterial small subunit ribosomal RNA", at positions 338 to 795 of the family's 1533-position model. The record is from RNAcentral.
CCUACGGGUGGCAGCAGUGAGGAAUAUUGGUCAAUGGGCGGGAGCCUGAACCAGCCAAGUCGCGUGAGGGAAGACGGUCCUCUGGAUUGUAAACCUCUUUAUGCGGGGAGCAAUGCAGGGCAAGCGUGCCCGGAGGGAGAGUACCCGCAGAAUAAGCAUCGGCUAACUACGUGCCAGCCGCCGCGGUAAUACGGAGGAUGCGAUCGUUAUCCGGAGUUAGUGGGUUUAAUGGGUGACUAGGCGGAUUUUUAAGUCAGAGGUAUAAUGUCGGUGCUCAAACCGGGCAGGUCGUUGACACUGGGGAGCUUGAGAGCGCGAGAAGUAUGCGGAAUGUGUGGUGUAGGGGUGAAAUGCAUAGAUAUUACGAAGAACUCCGAUUGCGAAGGCAGCAUACCGGCGCCCGACUGACGCUGAGGCACGAAAGCGUGGGGAGCGAACAGGAUUAGAUACCCUUGUAGUC